CAACAGGGAUUGCCCUAGUAACGGCGAGUGAAGCGGCAACAGCUCAAAUUUGAAAUCUGGCUUCGGCCCGAGUUGUAAUUUGUAGAGGAAGCUUUUGGUGAGGCACCUUCUGAGUCCCCUGGAACGGGGCGCCAUAGAGGGUGAGAGCCCCGUAUAGUCGGAUGCCGAUCCAAUGUAAAGCUCCUUCGACGAGUCGAGUAGUUUGGGAAUGCUGCUCAAAAUGGGAGGUAAAUUUCUUCUAAAGCUAAAUACCGGCCAGAGACCGAUAGCGCACAAGUAGAGUGAUCGAAAGAUGAAAAGCACUUUGAAAAGAGGGUUAAAUAGCACGUGAAAUUGUUGAAAGGGAAGCGUUUGUGACCAGACUUGCGCCGUUCCGAUCAUCCGGUGUUCUCACCGGUGCACUCGGGACGGCACAGGCCAGCAUCGGUUUUGGCGGGGGGACAAAGGCCCUGGGAACGUAGCUCCUCCGGGAGUGUUAUAGCCCAGGGCGUAAUGCCCUCGCCGGGACCGAGGUUCGCGCAUCUGCAAGGAUGCUGGCGUAAUGGUCACCAACGACCCGUCUUGAAACACGGACCAAGGAGUCAAGGUUUUGCGCGAGUGUUUGGGUGUAAAACCCGCACGCGUAAUGAAAGUGAACGUAGGUGAGAGCUUCGGCGCAUCAUCGACCGAUCCUGAUGUAUUCGGAUGGAUUUGAGUAAGAGCGUUAAGCCUUGGACCCGAAAGAUGGUGAACUAUGCUUGGAUAGGGUGAAGCCAGAGGAAACUCUGGUGGAGGCUCGCAGCGGUUCUGACGUGCAAAUCGAUCGUCAAAUCUGAGCAUGGGGGCGAAAGACUAAUCGA
RNAcentral lists this ribosomal RNA (839 nucleotides) under Neurospora cratophora. Its description in RNAcentral is "eukaryotic LSU rRNA". It matches the Rfam family "Eukaryotic large subunit ribosomal RNA", at positions 66 to 938 of the family's 3401-position model. Lineage: Eukaryota; Fungi; Ascomycota; Sordariomycetes; Sordariales; Sordariaceae. The record is from RNAcentral.